AAAUAUGUACAAACGACAUUUACCUGCUAUCAUCAAGAGAUCCAGUACAGCCAACACGUCGAUCGGAGAGUCUUUGCUCAUGGAUAAUAAGCAUGUUUUGGUCAUUAGCAACGUCUAGUUGGUUUGACACGUUGAUGUCUUGAAAUUGUUCAAAUCUUAUGUAUAACUAAUAUUUUUGUAAAGUUGAUAUGGGUGGACAGAAAUUUCAGUACGAUGAGAGUGGAGGCACAUUCUUUUACUUUCUCCUUUCAUUUCUUGCUCUGCUCUUAAUUCCAGGAACAUAUUAUUGGUGGCCACAUAAUAGAAAAGAAGAAACCACAGUAAAUGAAUGUCAGUGUGAUGACUGCAAAAAGAAGAAGUUUUUACUUCGGUCUAACGAACCGUGGAAAGGAACCAAACACCUAUUUACUAAACUACUCAUCAUUUCUGGAUGGUUGAUCCUGAUUCUUGUCGCCUAUAAAGUUUCCCAGUUUGAUUAUGAAUAUGCUAAUUUUGACCCCUAUGAAAUUCUUGGGGUACCAUUGGGCUCGUCACAAGCUGAGAUUAAGAAGUCAUACAGGAAACUCUCUCUCAUUCUUCAUCCUGAUAAGGAAACUGGAAAUGAGAAGGCAUUUAUGAAACUUACAAAAGCAUACCAAGCCUUAACAGAUGAUGAGGCUCGUCGUAAUUGGGAAAAAUAUGGGAACCCUGAUGGACCGGGUGCCAUGAGCUUCGGAAUAGCCUUACCAUCGUGGAUUGUAGAGAAGGAGAAUUCUGUGUGGGUUCUGGGGCUGUAUGCUCUCGUGUUCAUGGUUGCAUUGCCCACCGUUGUUGGAAUGUGGUGGUACAAGUCUAUCCGCUAUUCUGGAGAUCAGGUUCUCCUGGAGACCACGCAAAUGUACUACUUUUUCUUCCACAAAACUCCGUCCAUGGCUCUGAAAAGAGUGAUCAUGAUCCUUGCUGCAUCACUAGAGUUUUCGAAAAAGCACAACGGAGAAAUUGUGGAAAGACAGACGGAUGCCGAAGAGGUUCCACAUUUAAUUAAGCAGAUCUCAAACUUGAGUGAGAAGAAUCAAGAGCGUCCGCUCUGUUUUGCAUACUCCGUCAAGGCACGUGCCUUGUUAUAUGCUCAUCUGAGUCGUAUCACAUUAAAUCCUAAUUCGUUAGACAAGGACAGGCAGUACAUAGUGAAGAAAUGUCCGUAUCUCAUCCAGGAGAUGGUGAACUGUGUUUCACAGCUCGUUUUACUGGCAUACGCUCGAAGAAUUCCUCAUUUACCCAACAUUGAUACAAUAGAAAACUGCAUGAAAUUGAGUCCAAUGAUUGUGCAGGGGAUGUGGGAGUUCAAGAGUCCACUAUUGCAGCUUCCAUACAUCACUGAUGAAAAUCUAAAAUAUUUUUCAUCCAAGAAGCGACACAUAAAGAGCAUUCAACAGUUUGCACAGUUGAAAAAUGAAGAUCGGCGGCACAUAUUGCAAAGCUUUUCAAAUGAACAAUAUGAAGACGUAAUGAAAGUGGUUGGGAAGAUGCCGUACAUUGAACUCCAAGUCCGUUCUGAAGUGAUUGAUGAUGAGAACCCCACAGUCUACACCGCUGGUGCUAUCGUCACGGUAACAGUUAAAUUAAUACGGCAGAACAUGAGCGAUUUGUUUGGGGAUGACAGUGUGACCGAUAAGCAUGAGCAGCAGGUUGCGUCUGGUUUCAGUAAACUGGGCGAAGAUGAGGAAAAGGAGGAAGACAGAAAAGAGGAGCUGACGAAGAAACCGGUAUGGCAGAAACAACAGAAGAAGGGUAAGAAAGGAACAAAGAAGAAUAUAAAGAAUCAGAAGCCUGUUGGCAGGCCAAUAGCAGCUAAGAAGAGUGAAGAUAAAGCGUCUAAUGCCGUAGAGGCAGCACCCAGUAAGCAAGAAGGGGGCAGGAAGGCAGCAGCGGACACGGGGGAUGAGAGUGAAGGGUCGGAUGACGACGUUGAACGUUCAGAUGAUGAUGAAGAUCAGCACAGUCAAGGAGAGAAGGUGUCAGCGGAGGAUGAUGACACAGAGUGGGAAAAAUUUCAGACACGACUCUCAAAACGUGAGAAAGUAUUAGAGGGCCGCAGUAAACAGUCACAUAGUGUGCACUCUCCAUUUUAUCCUGAGGACAAACAGGAAUAUUGGUGGAUUUACAUAAGUGACCGCAAGAGUCGGACAUUGUUGACUUCUCCGUACCAUGUGACUGCACUGGUGGAGGAAGAAGAAGUGCAGCUCAAGUUCACUGCUCCUCGCUGGCCUGGAGUCUACACUUUCACUGUCUGUGUCCGCUCUGAUUCAUACCUUGGGUUUGAUCAGACGCAUGACAUUAAGUUGGAUGUGAAGGAGGCUGCUGAAGUUCCAACAGAGCACCCCCAGUGGGAUAUGUUGGAUGAUGAAGAGGAAGAACCAGAGGGAGAUGGCAGUGAUCUAUCAGAAUUCACCACAGACGAAGAUGUUGAAGAAGAACAGGAAGAUAAAGUUGUGUUUAGAACGAAAUGACAAGAUGUUCCUGUGGUUUACACAGUCAGAAGAGCAGAGUUCAUACCUCGUGGUUGGAGGCUGUUACAUGAGAGAUGUCUAGUGUAUUGUCUUCCAGCAUAUUUCAGGUGUUUCAUAGAAAUUAGAAUCGAAAAGAAUCCAAGUUUCUUGUAAGUAAGAAUAUUUCUUUGUGUAAUAUAGAAUGUAAAUGACUGUUUGCUCUAAGAAGGGCAAAAGAAUUUUAUUUUUAUUUUAUUUUAUUAUUCCUUAAAAGAUAUUUAUUAAUUAUCAGUGUUUUAAAAAAGGUUAAAGAUUUGUAAUGGUGUAGAAUCUUAUUGUACUUAAUAUAGAAUUAAAAUAUUACCUCUUAAA
Molecule: RNA transcript, 2840 nt
Organism: Zootermopsis nevadensis
Lineage: Eukaryota; Metazoa; Arthropoda; Insecta; Blattodea; Termopsidae
Gene: Sec63
Gene name: translocation protein Sec63
Source: RefSeq, a predicted model, not a curated record